CUAGAUACCCCUCCCACCUAUCUAUCCGCCCGAGAACUACGAGCACAAACGCUUAAAACUCUAAGGACUUGGCGGUGCCCCAAACCCACCUAGAGGAGCCUGUUCUAUAAUCGAUAAUCCACGAUCCACCCAACCACCCCUUGCCAGUACAGCCUACAUACCGCCGUCGUCAGCCCACCUCCAAUGAAAGAACAAUAGUGAGCUCAAUAGCCCCGCCCGCUAAUAAGACAGGUCAAGGUAUAGCCCAUGGGGUGGAAGAAAUGGGCUACAUUUUCUAACCUAGAAUAAGCGAAAAAGGAUGUGAAACCCCUCCUUGGAAGAAGGAUUUAGUAGUAAAGUAAGACCAUGCCCC
Molecule: ribosomal RNA, 352 nt
Filed under: Francolinus pondicerianus (gray francolin)
Lineage: Eukaryota; Metazoa; Chordata; Aves; Galliformes; Phasianidae
Description: partial 12S ribosomal RNA
Rfam family: Bacterial small subunit ribosomal RNA
Source: RNAcentral